GAUGAACGCUAGCGGGAGGCCUAACACAUGCAAGCCGAGCGGUAGAGUUCCUUCGGGAACUUGAGAGCGGCGUACGGGUGCGUAACACGUGUGCAACCUACCUUUAUCUGGGGGAUAGCCUUUCGAAAGGAAGAUUAAUACCCCAUAAUAUAAUGAUUGGCAUCAAUUAUUAUUGAAAACUCCGGUGGAUAGAGAUGGGCACGCGCAAGAUUAGAUAGUUGGUGAGGUAACGGCUCACCAAGUCAAUGAUCUUUAGGGGUCCUGAGAGGGAGAUCCCCCACACUGGUACUGGGACACGGACCAGACUCCUACGGGAGGCAGCAGUGAGGAAUAUUGGACAAUGGGUGAUAGCCUGAUCCAGCCAUCCCGCGUGAAGGAUGACGGUCCUAUGGAUUGUAAACUUCUUUUGUACAGGGAUAAACCUACUCUCGUGAGGGUAGCUGAAGGUACUGGACGAAUAAGCACCGGCUAACUCCGUG
RNAcentral lists this ribosomal RNA (479 nucleotides) under uncultured bacterium. RNAcentral's name for it is "partial 16S ribosomal RNA". It matches the Rfam family "Bacterial small subunit ribosomal RNA", at positions 28 to 507 of the family's 1533-position model. The record is from RNAcentral.